This 821-nucleotide long non-coding RNA is filed under the name Homo sapiens (human). RNAcentral's name for it is "non-protein coding lnc-BCL11A-7:1". Lineage: Eukaryota; Metazoa; Chordata; Mammalia; Primates; Hominidae. The record is from RNAcentral.
AAGAAGGAGUCCCUCAACCAGAGCCUCGCCGAGUGGAAGCUCUUCAUCUACAACCCGACCACCGGAGAGUUCCUGUGGCGCACCGCCAAGAGCUGGGGUUUGAUCUUGCUCUUCUACCUAAUUUUUUAUGGGUUCCUGGCUGCACUCUUCUCAUUCACGAUGUGGGUUAUGCUUCAGACUCAACGAUGAGGUUCCAAAAUACCGUGACCAGAUUCUUAACCCAGGACUGAUGGUUUUUCCAAAACCAGUCACUGCAUUGGAAUAUGCAUUCAGUAGGUCUGAUCUAACUUCGUAUGCAGGGUACACUGAAGACCUUAAGAAGUUUCUAAAACCAUAUACUUUAGAAGAACAGAAAAACCUCACAGUCUGUCCUGAUGGAGCACUUUUUGAACAGAAGGGUCCAGUUUAUGUUGCUUGUCAAUCUCCCAUUUCGUUACUUCAAGCAUGCCGUGGUAUGAAUGAUCUUGAUUUCGGCUAUUCUCAAAGAAACCCUUGUAUUCUUGUGAAAAUGAACAGAAUAAUUGGAUUAAAGUCUGAAGGAGUGCCAAGGAUAGAUUGUGUUUCGAAGAAUGAAGAUAUACCAAAUGUAGCAGUUUAUCCUCAUAAUGGAAUUAUAGACUUAAAAUAUUUCCCAUAUUAUGGGGAAAAACUGCAUGUGGGGUAUCUACAGCCAUUGGUUGCUGUUCAGGUCAGCUUUGCUCCUAACGAUACUGGGAAAGAAGUAACAGUUGAAUGCAAGAUUGAUGGAUCAGCCAACCUUAAAAGUCAGGAUGAUCGUGACAAGUUUUUGGGACGAGUUAUGUUCAAAAUCACAGCAUGUG